Molecule: ribosomal RNA, 164 nt
Filed under: Lithachne humilis
Lineage: Eukaryota; Viridiplantae; Streptophyta; Magnoliopsida; Poales; Poaceae
Description: 5.8S ribosomal RNA
Rfam family: 5.8S ribosomal RNA
About the family: 5.8S ribosomal RNA (5.8S rRNA) is a component of the large subunit of the eukaryotic ribosome. It is transcribed by RNA polymerase I as part of the 45S precursor that also contains 18S and 28S rRNA. Functionally, it is thought that 5.8S rRNA may be involved in ribosome translocation.
Source: RNAcentral
AAAACGACUCUCGGCAACGGAUAUCUCGGCUCUCGCAUCGAUGAAGAACGUAGCGAAAUGCGAUACCUGGUGUGAAUUGCAGAAUCCCGCGAACCAUCGAGUCUUUGAACGCAAGUUGCGCCCGAGGCCAUUCGGCGGAGGGCACGCCUGCCUGGGCGUCACGC